RNAcentral lists this ribosomal RNA (985 nucleotides) under Campylobacter jejuni. Its description in RNAcentral is "bacterial LSU rRNA". It matches the Rfam family "Bacterial large subunit ribosomal RNA", at positions 1665 to 2635 of the family's 2925-position model. Lineage: Bacteria; Pseudomonadati; Campylobacterota; Epsilonproteobacteria; Campylobacterales; Campylobacteraceae. The record is from RNAcentral.
GGGUGGGAUGAGUAUUCUAAGGCGCGUGGAAGAACUCUCUUUAAGGAACUCUGCAAAAUAGCACCGUAUCUUCGGUAUAAGGUGUGGUUAGCUUUGUAUUAGGAUUUACUCCGAAAGCAAGGAAACUUACAACAAAGAGUCCCUCCCGACUGUUUACCAAAAACACAGCACUCUGCUAACUCGUAAGAGGAUGUAUAGGGUGUGACGCCUGCCCGGUGCUCGAAGGUUAAUUGAUGGGGUUAGCAUUAGCGAAGCUCUUGAUCGAAGCCCGAGUAAACGGCGGCCGUAACUAUAACGGUCCUAAGGUAGCGAAAUUCCUUGUCGGUUAAAUACCGACCUGCAUGAAUGGCGUAACGAGAUGGGAGCUGUCUCAAAGAGGGAUCCAGUGAAAUUGUAGUGGAGGUGAAAAUUCCUCCUACCCGCGGCAAGACGGAAAGACCCCGUGGACCUUUACUACAGCUUGACACUGCUACUUGGAUAAGAAUGUGCAGGAUAGGUGGGAGGCUUUGAGUAUAUGACGCCAGUUGUAUAUGAGCCAUUGUUGAGAUACCACUCUUUCUUAUUUGGGUAGCUAACCAGCUUGAGUUAUCCUCAAGUGGGACAAUGUCUGGUGGGUAGUUUGACUGGGGCGGUCGCCUCCCAAAUAAUAACGGAGGCUUACAAAGGUUGGCUCAGAACGGUUGGAAAUCGUUCGUAGAGUAUAAAGGUAUAAGCCAGCUUAACUGCAAGACAUACAAGUCAAGCAGAGACGAAAGUCGGUCUUAGUGAUCCGGUGGUUCUGUGUGGAAGGGCCAUCGCUCAAAGGAUAAAAGGUACCCCGGGGAUAACAGGCUGAUCUCCCCCAAGAGCUCACAUCGGCGGGGAGGUUUGGCACCUCGAUGUCGGCUCAUCGCAUCCUGGGGCUGGAGCAGGUCCCAAGGGUAUGGCUGUUCGCCAUUUAAAGCGGUACGCGAGCUGGGUUCAGAACGUCGUGAGACAGUUCGGU